AGUGAACGCUGGCGGUAGGCCUAACACAUGCAAGUCGAACGGCAGCACAGUAAGAGCCUGCUCUUACGGGUGGCGAGUGGCGGACGGGUGAGGAAUACAUCGGAAUCUACUUUUUCGUGGGGGAUAACGUAGGGAAACUUACGCUAAUACCGCAUACGACCUACGGGUGAAAGCAGGGGAUCUUCGGACCUUGCGCGAUUGAAUGAGCCGAUGUCGGAUUAGCUAGUUGGCGGGGUAAAGGCCCACCAAGGCGACGAUCCGUAGCUGGUCUGAGAGGAUGAUCAGCCACACUGGAACUGAGACACGGUCCAGACUCCUACGGGAGGCAGCAGUGGGGAAUAUUGGACAAUGGGCGCAAGCCUGAUCCAGCCAUACCGCGUGGGUGAAGAAGGCCUUCGGGUUGUAAAGCCCUUUUGUUGGGAAAGAAAAGCAGCAGGUUAAUACCCCGCUGUUCUGACGGUACCCAAAGAAUAAGCACCGGCUAACUUCG
Molecule: ribosomal RNA, 490 nt
Filed under: uncultured bacterium
Lineage: Bacteria
Description: partial 16S ribosomal RNA
Rfam family: Bacterial small subunit ribosomal RNA
Source: RNAcentral